UAGGGAAUCUUCGGCAAUGGGGGGAACCCUGACCGAGCAACGCCGCGUGAGUGAAGAAGGUUUUCGGAUCGUAAAGCUCUGUUGUUAAGGAAGAACGAGUGUGAGAAUGGAAAGUUCAUACUGUGACGGUACUUAACCAGAAAGGGACGGCUAACUACGUGCCAGCAGCCGCGGUAAUACGUAGGUCCCGAGCGUUGUCCGGAUUUAUUGGGCGUAAAGCGAGCGCAGGCGGUUAGAUAAGUCUGAAGUUAAAGGCAGUGGCUCAACCAUUGUAGGCUUUGGAAACUGUUUAACUUGAGUGCAGAAGGGGAGAGUGGAAUUCCAUGUGUAGAGGUGAAAUGCGUAGAUAUAUGGAGGAACACCGGUGGCGAAAGCGGCUCUCUGGUCUGUAACUGACGCUGAGGCUCGAAAGCGUGGGGAGCGAACAGG
RNAcentral lists this ribosomal RNA (429 nucleotides) under Bacteroidota bacterium. Its description in RNAcentral is "Bacteroidetes bacterium partial 16S ribosomal RNA". It matches the Rfam family "Bacterial small subunit ribosomal RNA", at positions 355 to 776 of the family's 1533-position model. The record is from RNAcentral. Lineage: Bacteria; Pseudomonadati; Bacteroidota.